Molecule: ribosomal RNA, 1294 nt
Filed under: Ewingella sp.
Lineage: Bacteria; Pseudomonadati; Pseudomonadota; Gammaproteobacteria; Enterobacterales; Yersiniaceae
Description: bacterial SSU rRNA
Rfam family: Bacterial small subunit ribosomal RNA
Source: RNAcentral
GGGUGAGUAAUGUCUGGGAAACUGCCUGAUGGAGGGGGAUAACUACUGGAAACGGUAGCUAAUACCGCAUGACCUCGCAAGAGCAAAGUGGGGGACCUUCGGGCCUCACGCCAUCGGAUGUGCCCAGAUGGGAUUAGCUAGUAGGUGAGGUAAUGGCUCACCUAGGCGACGAUCCCUAGCUGGUCUGAGAGGAUGACCAGCCACACUGGAACUGAGACACGGUCCAGACUCCUACGGGAGGCAGCAGUGGGGAAUAUUGCACAAUGGGCGCAAGCCUGAUGCAGCCAUGCCGCGUGUGUGAAGAAGGCCUUCGGGUUGUAAAGCACUUUCAGCGAGGAGGAAGGCGUUGUAGUUAAUAGCUGCAACGAUUGACGUUACUCGCAGAAGAAGCACCGGCUAACUCCGUGCCAGCAGCCGCGGUAAUACGGAGGGUGCAAGCGUUAAUCGGAAUUACUGGGCGUAAAGCGCACGCAGGCGGUUUGUUAAGUCAGAUGUGAAAUCCCCGAGCUUAACUUGGGAACUGCAUUUGAAACUGGCAAGCUAGAGUCUUGUAGAGGGGGGUAGAAUUCCAGGUGUAGCGGUGAAAUGCGUAGAGAUCUGGAGGAAUACCGGUGGCGAAGGCGGCCCCCUGGACAAAGACUGACGCUCAGGUGCGAAAGCGUGGGGGAGCAAACAGGAUUAGAUACCCUGGUAGUCCACGCUGUAAACGAUGUCGAUUUGGAGGUUGUGGGCAUGACCCGUGGCUUCCGGAGCUAACGCGUUAAAUCGACCGCCUGGGGAGUACGGCCGCAAGGUUAAAACUCAAAUGAAUUGACGGGGGCCCGCACAAGCGGUGGAGCAUGUGGUUUAAUUCGAUGCAACGCGAAGAACCUUACCUACUCUUGACAUCCAGAGAAUUCGCUAGAGAUAGCUUAGUGCCUUCGGGAACUCUGAGACAGGUGCUGCAUGGCUGUCGUCAGCUCGUGUUGUGAAAUGUUGGGUUAAGUCCCGCAACGAGCGCAACCCUUAUCCUUUGUUGCCAGCACGUAAUGGUGGGAACUCAAAGGAGACUGCCGGUGAUAAACCGGAGGAAGGUGGGGAUGACGUCAAGUCAUCAUGGCCCUUACGAGUAGGGCUACACACGUGCUACAAUGGCAUAUACAAAGAGAAGCGAACUCGCGAGAGCAAGCGGACCUCACAAAGUAUGUCGUAGUCCGGAUUGGAGUCUGCAACUCGACUCCAUGAAGUCGGAAUCGCUAGUAAUCGUAGAUCAGAAUGCUACGGUGAAUACGUUCCCGGGCCUUGUACACACCGC